This 490-nucleotide ribosomal RNA is filed under the name uncultured bacterium. RNAcentral's name for it is "partial 16S ribosomal RNA". It matches the Rfam family "Bacterial small subunit ribosomal RNA", at positions 30 to 507 of the family's 1533-position model. The record is from RNAcentral.
AUUGAACGCUGGCGGCAGGCCUAACACAUGCAAGUCGAACGGUAACAGGAAGUUUCUUUCUUCUUUGCUGACGAGUGGCGGACGGGUGGGGAAUGUCUGGGGAACGUCCUGAUGGAGGGGGUUAAGUACUGGAAACGGUAGCUGAGACCGCAUAACGUCGCAAGACCAAAGAGGGGGACGUUCUGGCCUCUGGCCAUCGGGUGUGCCGAGAUGGGAUUAGGUAGUAGGUGGGGUAAGGGCUGACCUAGGCGACGAUCCCUAGCUGGUGUGAGAGGAUGACCAGCCACGCUGGCACUGAGACACGGUCCCGACUCCUACGGGAGGCAGCAGUGGGGAAUAUUGCACAAUGGGCGCAAGCCUGAUGCAGACAUGCCGCGUGUAUGAAGAAGGCCUCCGGGUUGUAAAGUACUUUCAGCGGGGAGGAAGGGAGUAACGUUAAUACCUUAGCUCAUUGACGUUACCCGCAGAAGAAGCACCGGCUAACUCCGUG